AGAAUCAACGCUGGCGGCGUGCCUAACACAUGCAAGUCGAACGAGAAAGGGGAGCAAUCCCUGAGUACAGUGGCGACCGGGUGAGUAACACGUGACUAACCUACCUUCGAGUGGGGGAUAACUCCGGGAAACCGGAGCUAAUACCGCAUAACAUCGCAAGAUCAAAGCAGCAAUGCGCUUGAAGAGGGGGUCGCGGCUGAUUAGCUAGUUGGCGGGGUAACGGCCCACCAAGGCGAAGAUCGGUAGCCGGCCUGAGAGGGCGCACGGCCACACUGGAACUGAAACACGGUCCAGACUCCUACGGGAGGCAGCAGUGGGGAAUUUUGCGCAAUGGGGGAAACCCUGACGCAGCAACGCCGCGUGGAGGAUGAAGCCCCUUGGGGCGUAAACUCCUUUCGACCAAGACGAUUAUGACGGUACUGGUGGAAGAAGCACCGGCUAACUCUGUGCCAGCAGCCGC
Molecule: ribosomal RNA, 460 nt
Filed under: uncultured bacterium
Lineage: Bacteria
Description: SSU rRNA
Rfam family: Bacterial small subunit ribosomal RNA
Source: RNAcentral